This 497-nucleotide ribosomal RNA is filed under the name uncultured bacterium. RNAcentral's name for it is "partial 16S ribosomal RNA". It matches the Rfam family "Bacterial small subunit ribosomal RNA", at positions 28 to 507 of the family's 1533-position model. The record is from RNAcentral.
GACGAACGCUGGCGGCGUGCCUAAUACAUGCAAGUUGAGCGCUGAAGUCUGGUGCUUGUCCGAACUGGCUGAGCAGCGCACGGGUGAGUAACGCGUGGGCACUCUGCCUUUUAGCGGGGGACAACAUUUGGAAUCGGAUUCUAAUACCGUAUAAAAACUUUAAACACAAAUUUUAAGUUUGAAAGAUGCAAUUGCAUCACUCAAACACUAUCCCUCGUUGUAUUGGCUAGUUGGUGAGGUAAAGGCUCACCAAGGCGAUGUCACCUAGCCGACCGGAGCUGGUGAUCGGCCCAAUUGAGACUGAGACCCGGCCCAACCUCCUACGGGGAGCAGCAGUACGGAAACUUCGGCAAUAGACGAAAGGCUGACCACGCAGCGCCGCGAGAGUGAAGAAGCUUUUCGGAUCGGAAAACUCUGUUGGUAGAGAAGAACGGUCGUGAGAGUGGAAAGCUCAUCAAGUGACGGUAACUAGAAAAAAAGGGACGGCUAACUACGUG